AUACGUAGGGGGCGAGCGUUGUCCGGAAUGAUUGGGCGUAAAGGGCGCGUAGGCGGCCUGUUAAGUCUGGCGUGAAAGUCCUGUUUUCAAGAUGGGAAUUGCUUUGGAUACUGAUGGGCUUGAGUGCAGGAGAGGUUAUCGGAAUUCCCGGUGUAGCGGUGAAAUGCGUAGAGAUCGGGAGGAACACCAGUGGCGAAGGCGGGUAACUGGACUGCAACUGACGCUGAGGCGCGAAAGCGUGGGGAGCAAACAGGAUUAGAUACCCUGGUAGUCCACACUGUAAACGAUGAAUGCUAGGUGUAGGGGGUAUCGACCCCUUCUGUGCCGCAGUCAACACAAUAAGCAUUCCGCCUGGGGAGUACGGCCGCAAGGUUGAAACUCAAAUGAAUUGACGGGG
This 397-nucleotide ribosomal RNA is filed under the name uncultured bacterium. RNAcentral describes it as "partial 16S ribosomal RNA". It matches the Rfam family "Bacterial small subunit ribosomal RNA", at positions 523 to 918 of the family's 1533-position model. The record is from RNAcentral.